AGCAGCCGCGGUAAUUCCAGCUCCAAUAGCGUAUAUUAAAGUUGCUGCAGUUAAAAAGCUCGUAGUUGAAUUUCGGGACUAAUAUGUCGGUCGUGCCUCGGUACGUACUGGCUUAUUGGUUUCUCCUUUCUGAAGAACCAUGAUGUCAUUUAUUUGGUGUCGUGGGGAAUCAGGACUGUUACUUUGAAAAAAUUAGAGUGUUUAAAGCAGGCUCACGCUUGAAUACAUUAGCAUGGAAUAAUGAAAUAGGACGUUUGAUUCUAUUUUGUUGGUUUCUAGGAUCGACGUAAUGAUUAAUAGGGAUAGUUGGGGGCAUUAGUACUCAAUUGUCAGAGGUGAAAUUCUUGGAUUUAUUGAAGACUAACUACUGCGAAAGCAUUUGCCAAGGAUGUUUUCAUUAAUCAAGAACGAAAGUUAGGGGAUCGAAGACGAUCAGAUACCGUCGUAGUCUUAACCAUAAACUAUGCCGACUAGGGAUCGGAUGAUGUUAAUUUUUAAUGACUCAUUCGGCGCCUUACGG
RNAcentral lists this ribosomal RNA (520 nucleotides) under uncultured Glomus. RNAcentral's name for it is "SSU rRNA". It matches the Rfam family "Eukaryotic small subunit ribosomal RNA", at positions 569 to 1093 of the family's 1831-position model. Lineage: Eukaryota; Fungi; Glomeromycota; Glomeromycetes; Glomerales; Glomeraceae. The record is from RNAcentral.